AGUGGAUUAGUGGCGAACGGGUGAGUAACACGUGAGCAAUCUGCCCUUGACUCUGGGAUAACUGCGGGAAACUGUAGCUAAUACCGGAUACGACACCUUGGGGCAUCCCGAGGUGUGGAAAGAAUUUCGGUCAAGGAUGAGCUCGCGGCCUAUCAGCUUGUUGGUGAGGUAAAAGCUCACCAAGGCGACGACGGGUAGCCGGCCUGAGAGGGUGACCGGCCACACUGGAACUGAGAUACGGUCCAGACUCC
This 251-nucleotide ribosomal RNA is filed under the name uncultured Microbacteriaceae bacterium. RNAcentral describes it as "partial 16S ribosomal RNA". It matches the Rfam family "Bacterial small subunit ribosomal RNA", at positions 86 to 339 of the family's 1533-position model. The record is from RNAcentral. Lineage: Bacteria; Bacillati; Actinomycetota; Actinomycetes; Micrococcales; Microbacteriaceae.